This 75-nucleotide transfer RNA is filed under the name Sphaerodactylus townsendi. RNAcentral describes it as "tRNA-Ala". The record is from RNAcentral. Lineage: Eukaryota; Metazoa; Chordata; Lepidosauria; Squamata; Sphaerodactylidae.
GGAGGGGCUGGGGCUCAGUGGGGAGAGCAUUUGCUUUGCUUGCAGAAGGCCCCAGGUCCGAUCCCAGCUUCUCCA